AGGUUGGGAUACUUACUACGGCGAGUGAGCGGUAAAAGCUCAAAUUUGAAAUCUGGUACUUUCAGUGCCCGAGUUGUAAUUUGUAGAAUUUGUCUUUGAUUAGGUCCUUGUCUAUGUUCCUUGGAACAGGACGUCAUAGAGGGUGAGAAUCCCGUUUGGCGAGGAUACCUUUUCUCUGUAAGACUUUUUCGAAGAGUCGAGUUGUUUGGGAAUGCAGCUCAAAGUGGGUGGUAAAUUCCAUCUAAAGCUAAAUAUUGGCGAGAGACCGAUAGCGAACAAGUACAGUGAUGGAAAGAUGAAAAGAACUUUGAAAAGAGAGUGAAAAAGUACGUGAAAUUGUUGAAAGGGAAGGGCAUUUGAUCAGACAUGGUGUUUUUUGCAUGCACUCGCCUCUCGUGGGCUUGGGCCUCUCAAAAAUUUCACUGGGCCAACAUCAAUUCUGGCAGUAGGAUAAAUCAUUAAGAAUGUAGCUACCUCGGUAGUGUUAUAGCUUAUUGGAAUACUGCUAGCUGGGAUUGAGGACUGCGCUUCGGCAAGGAUGUUGGCAUAAUGGUUAAAUGCCGCCCGUCUUGAACCACGGACCA
This 584-nucleotide ribosomal RNA is filed under the name Hanseniaspora opuntiae. RNAcentral describes it as "eukaryotic LSU rRNA". It matches the Rfam family "Eukaryotic large subunit ribosomal RNA", at positions 67 to 668 of the family's 3401-position model. Lineage: Eukaryota; Fungi; Ascomycota; Saccharomycetes; Saccharomycodales; Saccharomycodaceae. The record is from RNAcentral.